UACGUAGGGGGCCAGCGUUGCUCGGAAUUACUGGGCGUAAAGGGUCCGUAGGCGGUGUAGCAAGUCGAUAGUGAAAUCUCUGGGCUUAACCCAGAGGCUGCUUUCAAAACUGCCGCGCUCGAGUGCGAGAGAGGCCAGUGGAAUUGCAGGUGUAGCGGUGAAAUGCGUAGAUAUCUGCAGGAACACCCGUGGCGAAGGCGGCUGGCUGGAUCGCAACUGACACUGAGGAACGAAAGCUAGGGGAGCAAACAGG
RNAcentral lists this ribosomal RNA (253 nucleotides) under uncultured prokaryote. RNAcentral's name for it is "partial 16S ribosomal RNA". It matches the Rfam family "Bacterial small subunit ribosomal RNA", at positions 524 to 776 of the family's 1533-position model. The record is from RNAcentral.